AACCUGGAGCUUGCAAAUAAUGAUCAGUUUGGAUAAUCACCGCUGGCAGCUCAGCAGAGUUCGAGUCUCCACUUGCUGCUCUCCCAAUUAGCUGCAGUGCUGAUCAUUUUCCCCUUUGCAUACUAAAGAGAGGAUCAAGAAAGAAGCACUUUGCAUAUGAAAGAUGGGAAACACCUACUGAGUGAAUGGAGCUGUCUGAUGCCUGACUCAAACUACAACUUCUCCUGUUGCCAGAGGAAUCUCAAGGGGGAAUAAAAACAAGGAGAAAAAUGGCAGAAGUCUGUACCUUGCCUACAACCAGAGCCCUUUUUCAUCAGGAACCUUUGCUCAAUUAGAAAUUAAGUGCCACAAAAUUUCAUUCAUUAAAAAAAAGAAACUA
Parus major (Great Tit) is the source of this 379-nucleotide long non-coding RNA. RefSeq lists it as uncharacterized. Lineage: Eukaryota; Metazoa; Chordata; Aves; Passeriformes; Paridae. The transcript has 2 exons. The record is from RefSeq and is a predicted model, not a curated record.